ACAUUUGAUAGACGGUAGUGAUGAUAGUGCUGGUGUUCAUUUGAUGCUCAGGAAAUGUGGAACAUACAGAUGUAUCGUAUGUCAUGCCUGCCUUCAAGAAGCUCACAAUUAGUUGGACCAGAACUAGAGCAGAACAGGAAAGACUUGAGAGGGGAAGAAAGAAGAUGGGACUGCUUGCAAAAACAGCUAUGUCUCACUCAUUUCUGUAUCAACACGUUUUGUAAUGCUACUUGACAGCUUCCCCCAUCAAGAGGUGGAGUCUACCUUGCCAACCCUUGAAUUUGGGCUAGCCUUGGGCCUUGCUUUGCCAAAAGAAUGUGGCAGAAAUGACCUUGUGCCAGUUUUAGACUUAGGUUCAAGAGGCCUUGCACACUUCUACUUUCUGUCUUGAAUCCCUGCCAGCUGCUAUGAAGACAAGAGCAGGCUAGCCUGCUUGAUGAUGAAAGACACAUGAUCACGUCUCCCCUGUUGUCCAAGUCAACAGUUGGCCAACUGCUAAACGAUGAGUGAGGCUGUCCUAGACCAGCCAGACCCAGUGGACCCACCUGCAGACUAUAAACACAAGUGUGAGCCCUCCUGAGGUUCUCCAGGCCUGGCCAUAUCAGAAAUUUCCAGUGGAUCUAAAGACUUGGGGAAAACAGGAAUUUAAUGGAUGAACUUGAGACCAACCAGAGGUCUUUUUUCCUCUGCUGCAAAGACCAAUAACAUCAAAGACAGUGGCUGCUCUACCAAUCUGGAUCCCUGAGUGACAGCAAUUAGUAAAGUUCCUCUGCCAACUGAUGAUGAAUAAGCAAUAAAUAAACCUUUGUUAUUUUAAAACCCUGAGAA
Long non-coding RNA from Orcinus orca (killer whale), 828 nucleotides. RefSeq lists it as uncharacterized. The transcript has 2 exons. Lineage: Eukaryota; Metazoa; Chordata; Mammalia; Artiodactyla; Delphinidae. The record is from RefSeq and is a predicted model, not a curated record.